RNAcentral lists this non-coding RNA (31 nucleotides) under unclassified sequences. RNAcentral describes it as "L31-Firmicutes ribosomal protein leader". It matches the Rfam family "L31-Firmicutes ribosomal protein leader". The record is from RNAcentral.
CUAUGACUGACCUAAGUCAUGGCGGAAGGAG